Molecule: long non-coding RNA, 337 nt
Organism: Dipodomys spectabilis (banner-tailed kangaroo rat)
Lineage: Eukaryota; Metazoa; Chordata; Mammalia; Rodentia; Heteromyidae
Exons: 3
Source: RefSeq, a predicted model, not a curated record
UGGUGGCAGUGGGGCUGGCUCAGCAUAUCCGUGUCAGUCACUUUGCUCUUAUUUCUAAGUGUACUUUUGUGCCAUUUAAGCGGCCGAUGGUGGAUGGUGACACGGGUGUGGAGCCGAGCCGAGCAGCUCCUCCAGUCCUCGCUGAAGGAAUUGGGAGGGACCACGAGGGCACAAGAUACGCCAUCACUUAACACAGAGGUGUUAAGUUCAUUCUUGCAGCAGAAGAAGGCCAUUGUAUUUCCUGACCCUGAAAGCAAGGAUGAUUCCUGUGGUCUCCCAGUGCAGCUUCUACAUAGUUGAGAGCAAUAUUGGAAAGAAAUAUGUAAGAAGGCAAUGA